RNAcentral lists this non-coding RNA (799 nucleotides) under Schistocephalus solidus. Its description in RNAcentral is "Eukaryotic small subunit ribosomal RNA". It matches the Rfam family "Eukaryotic small subunit ribosomal RNA", at positions 1362 to 1831 of the family's 1831-position model. The record is from Rfam by way of RNAcentral. Lineage: Eukaryota; Metazoa; Platyhelminthes; Cestoda; Diphyllobothriidea; Diphyllobothriidae.
AAUGGUACCAAGGAUCGUGAAGAGAGAACCACAUUUAGACAUAAAGGUAUUAAAGUUUUCCAGGGCGUCAAGGUCUUAUUUCUUCAUGCUUAAGGUGGGUUGUUCUAGUGGAAGUUUUACGCGAAGAGGAUGUUUGCGUCGAAGUACUGACUGGGGUUUCAUAUUGGUUUUAAAAUAUAAGUACUUUUCAAAUCAAUAAUACGAAGGAAAAUUGUUACCAGUAACGUUUUGCGGAAUAAAAGAUUUAAUAUUUUAAGCAAGUCACUGCAAGCAACUAUCUGCUAGGUAACGAGUUUAAACUGAAAAUAGAAUUAGCGAAGAGGCUAUGCAGGAUGAAAAAUUAUAUCAACUGGUAUACCAGUUACUUAGAGGGACAAGCAUUACGAAUGUGCACGAAAUUUAACAAUAUGAGGCCUGUGAUGCCCUUAAAUGUUACUGGCCACACGCAAGCUAAAAUGAGAAUGCCAAAGAGUCUGACCUUCUGGCUCGAAAGAGUUGGCCAAACUGGGCAAUCACCGUCAUGACAGGGAUCGGAGCUUGGAAUUGUUCCCCGUGAACGAGGAAUUCCUAGUAAGUACAAGGCAUAAGCUUGCGCUGAUUACGUGCCUGCCCUUUGUACUCACCGCCCGUCGAUACUAACGAUUGAAUGGUUUAGUUAGGACCUCGGAUUGGUGCCAUUGCAGUGCCAGCCACAAGGUUGGUGCUCGGCAGGUGCCGAGUAGAUGACCAAACUUGAUCAUUUUGAGGAAGUCAAAGUCGUAACAAGGUUUCCAUAGGUGAACCUGCGGAAGGAUCAUUA